This is a long non-coding RNA of Felis catus (domestic cat), 321 nucleotides long. RefSeq lists it as uncharacterized. The transcript has 3 exons. Lineage: Eukaryota; Metazoa; Chordata; Mammalia; Carnivora; Felidae. The record is from RefSeq and is a predicted model, not a curated record.
CGUCGUUAAUAUGUUUGUUAUAUUUUGUUGGCGGAAUAUGAAAGUUCAUCAGCAAGCCCGCACACAGGGAAAGCAUAUUGAAAUGAGCAUCGCAGAUCUGUCAGGCUGGAGUUUAUGGCCUUUUCUCAGUACUACACUGCGACUUCCAGGAAGGGUUCAGGCGCCCUCACUGGGGAACUACAUUCUCUGAACAGGACUUUGUAGAUGCCGAUGCUGUCUAAAUGGAUUACAAAGCUUUGUGAAUGAUAUAAUCUAUCCUUUAUGGAUCUCCCAACAGAAUUGCCAAAUAUUGGAGCAAAAUAUAUGUAUGUUUCAUAUCAA